AUACGGAGGAUGCGAGCGUUAUCCGGAUUUAUUGGGUUUAAAGGGUGCGUAGGCUGUGCGUUAAGUCAGGGGUGAAAUGCCGUCGCUCAACGACGGAGCUGCCCUUGAUACUGGCGUGCUGGAGUACGGAUGCCGUUGGAGGAAUGAGUGGUGUAGCGGUGAAAUGCUUAGAUAUCACUCAGAACACCGAUUGCGAAGGCACCUGACGAAUCCGUCACUGACGCUGAGGCACGAAAGCGUGGGGAUAGAACAGGAUUAGAUACCCUGGUAUUCCACGCCGUAAACGAUGAUGACUAACCGUCGGCGAUAGACAGCCGGUGGCCAAGCGAAAGCGAUAAGUCAUCCACCUGGGGAGUACGUCGGCAACGAUGAAACUCAAAUGAAUUGGCGGGG
This 393-nucleotide ribosomal RNA is filed under the name uncultured bacterium. Its description in RNAcentral is "partial 16S ribosomal RNA". It matches the Rfam family "Bacterial small subunit ribosomal RNA", at positions 523 to 918 of the family's 1533-position model. The record is from RNAcentral.